CCUACGGGUGACAGCAGUAGGGAAUAUUGCUCAAUGGGGGAAACCCUGAAGCAGCACCGCCGCGUGGAGGAUGAAGGUUUUCGGAUUGUAAACUCCUUUUGUUAGAGAAGAUAAUGACUGUAUCUAACGAAUAAGCACCGGCUAACUCCGUGCCAGCCGCCGCGGGAAUACGGAGGGUGCAAGCGUUACUCGGAAUCACUGGGCGUAAAGAGCGCGUAGGCGGGAUAUCAAGUCAGAUGUGAAAUCCUAUGGCUUAACCAUAGAACUGCAUUUGAAACUGUUAUUCUAGAGUAUGGGAGAGGUAGGUGGAAUUCUUGGUGUAGGGGUAAAAUCCGUAGAGAUCAAGAGGAAUACUCAUUGCGAAGGCGACCUGCUAGAACAUAACUGACGCUGAUGCGCGAAAGCGUGGGGAGCAAACAGGAUUAGAUACCCCUGUAGUC
This 440-nucleotide ribosomal RNA is filed under the name uncultured bacterium. RNAcentral's name for it is "partial 16S ribosomal RNA". It matches the Rfam family "Bacterial small subunit ribosomal RNA", at positions 338 to 795 of the family's 1533-position model. The record is from RNAcentral.